ACCUGGGUGGCUCAGUUGGUUGAGCAUCUGACUUUGGCUCAGGUCAUGAUCUCACGGUUCAGGAGUUCAAGCCCCAGGUC
This 80-nucleotide transfer RNA is filed under the name Felis catus (domestic cat). It matches the Rfam family "tRNA". From Rfam's summary of the family: Transfer RNA (tRNA) molecules are approximately 80 nucleotides in length. Their secondary structure includes four short double-helical elements and three loops (D, anti-codon, and T loops). Further hydrogen bonds mediate the characteristic L-shaped molecular structure. tRNAs have two regions of fundamental functional importance: the anti-codon, which is responsible for specific mRNA codon recognition, and the 3' end, to which the tRNAs corresponding amino acid is attached (by aminoacyl-tRNA synthetases). tRNAs cope with the degeneracy of the genetic code in two manners: having more than one tRNA (with a specific anti-codon) for a particular amino acid; and 'wobble' base-pairing, i.e. permitting non-standard base-pairing at the 3rd anti-codon position. Lineage: Eukaryota; Metazoa; Chordata; Mammalia; Carnivora; Felidae. The record is from Rfam by way of RNAcentral. RNAcentral also lists the same sequence under 2 other names.